GGUAAGUUGUGAUUGUUCAUUUGAAGUUUACUCAAGUGGAAGAAUGUAACUAAUAAACUUAGAACUACUAGCACUAUGCAUUAUAUUUUGAAAAAGUAGAUUAUCUUAAUAUCAAAACCUUUCAAUUUUCUCUGGACUCAAUGAUAAAUACGUUUGACCGCUGGAAUGAACCAAAAAAACUAGAAAAUCGCAUUCAUGAGGAUUUAUGGUGAUUUUAUUUCCCGUUGGACCUUUGUCUACAUUGAUGCUGAUGCACUAAAGAAGAGGGGCUCCCCUGUACCAAGAUGGCGGCUCUAUUGACGCAUUCGUUCCAAUGAACUGCCGUAGCCAAGGCGACAUCUAGGCAUCUCGCUCUAGGUUCCGGGAGAUUUUAACUAAUUUGAUGGCAUCAGGGAGCCGCAUCAAUAAAAACCAUUGGGUUUUUUAAAAACGAGUUGGGUUUCAUUUCUCUGGCUGUUUCCGUGUUUCUUACUGUAGAUCACCUGCCAGUCAUUUUAUCUAUCUAAAGGAAGGAAAAUCGGACGAUUGUCAUUUUCAGUUGUGUUCUCAUCCAUACUCCGAAUCACACAACCCAUUUAUAAAUAAGUCACAGACUAAGGAUAUCAUAAGUCUAAAACUCUGCCGAAAUUAUUAGAAGACCUGGAUGACGGUGCCAAACAUUGCCAAAUGUUAAUGAAGGAUGAGGACAGAUGACAGAUUGUCUGAUCUAGCAGCAUGUAGUUUCUCAGUGACGGUCAAAAGGGAAGUCUCUGUGGAGUACAUGGCUUUGUAUCUGGUUGGUUCUGUGUGAGAUGGAUAGAUUAUGGGACAGACGUCUAAACAAACACAUACAUUGAUGGAUUUAUCUGAUGCUGUCCCAGAAUUAAUUAUGAAUGUAGGAUACUGGCAGUGAACAGCUUAUUUGCUGUAAUUUGCAUGAUGAGAGAAAUUUCCCCUCAAAUAUUUAUUGCAAUCAUAGCCAUUUUGAGCAAAUGUUUACUGACAACUAGUAUAGUACAGUCUGCAUUGCAGGUGAUCCCACCCAUCACACAGCCUCUUCAGUCUGCUGCCAUCAGGGAGGAGACAGCGGAGUCUCCUGGCCAGGACCAACAGAUUGAAGGACCGCUUCAUUCAUCAGGCUGUCAGGAAGCUGAACUCGCUCCCGAACUUGCCCCCACCUUCCCUUUUCUGCCCCAGGCACCACAGAUCUUUGAACCCACAUCACCCCUCCAGAUCCCACAUCCCCAGGUCCUUCCACUCCCCCCUCCCACUAACAUACGAUGACAUGCACCAGUCACUUUGUGCAGCAUUGGUCUGCUCAUUUGCACUUUAUGCCUUGUGCUGCUUUAUUUAAUUUCUAUUGUUAGUAUUAUCUGUAUGCACCUUGGGACUGAUAGUAAUGCAAUUUCAAAUUCUGUGUGUACUGUACAUGUGGAGGAUUUGACAAUAAAGCAGAACUUGAAAACAGAGAUCUACAUCAACAGAUUCAUUGAGCACUUUCCCAGAAUUCCUAUUGAACAUAGGAUAAUGCCACUUAAAAGCUUACAUGCUGUCAUUUGCAUGAUGGGAGAAAUUUCUCCUCAAAUAUUUAACACGAUCAAAUGUUCAUAAUUGAUCAAAUGUUUAGUGCCAACUAGUACAGUGCAGGGAAAUGUGUUCAACCACCUAAUACUAAGUAUUCUUUAUGAGACUAUGGACAAGUCCUCAAAGCAAAAGCCUGCUGCUGAAAGUCUUGACUCUGAUGUGCUUGAAAAGUUAUGCGAUGCACUUAUGCCUUUCACCAAUCCUAACUAUUCAACUGAGGUCAGCAGACUUACUUACUGUUUAUUUGCUGACCUACACAAGUUUGUCCCAGAGCACAUUAACACAUGUGGAGUAACCUCAGUGCCUGAAAUAGUUCUUCAUGCUGUAGAUAUAGGACCAGAUGAUGCAAUUAAAGAAAAACUCCACAAACUGGACACAAAUCUCAGAAAUCCCCAAAUCUCAAGCACUGUAGAUUGCUUGGGUGAAGCAGCAGACAGCAUGCCAUCGAAGAAGAAAAAAAAAGAAAGACAAUCAACAAGACAUUAUCUCAAAAGAAGAUUCUGAUACUGCAAAAACAUCAGUUCAGGAGUCCAGUGUGCAUCCAUAUGCAACUUUGUAAAUACACAAAACAACUUCAACUUUGUGAAUACACACUGAAGGAAUACAUUGAAGACCAUUUGCCAGAAGACACUUCUCACAUCCUGAAGAAAAUUGUAAAAGAAGUUCUUUAUAGCUUAAAUGCUCUUCACGGCCAUGACACCAAAGUGCUUCACCGUAGGAAUCCUAGUAGGAAUCCUAUUAACAGUCUUGUCUGUAAUCAUUGACAUAAUUAAAAACACAUUCAACACUGGAAAAUUCUUAAAUUGGCCUUCUGAUGUUAUUAAUUUUUAACAGAUAUAACCGGAAAGGCAAGACUAGCUGAUUUCGGCAUAAGUCGAAGACUGAAGUUGGGGGAGACGACUUGCCGCACUAAUCUUGCUGGAAAGUACUGGAAAGCCAGAGAGACGCUUGAAGAGGACAUUAACAGUGGCUACAAGAGGAGUUCUGACAUUCAGCCAACUCCACAGCUGCAUCAACCCUUUUGGCUGUGAUGCUUGAAGUGUCAGACUGCUUACUGAUGCUAGACUGAGAGGCAGUACCUUAGAUGGAGCGGGCGUACUGUUGUGACGGUAGCUGAUGAAGACGCUGCCUUUCUCUAUCUUCAUCAAAAUCACUGUCUAUUGCUGUUAUACGUUCAUUAAGUAUUUUCAUAAUGUCCUUAGUUACUGCUUCACAAGAGUCCAUUUUGCGUCUUGUGUCAGGGGAUGGCAUAAUAUGCUCCCUUAUUUCAUUGUACACCUUCAUCCUGUUGUUCAAACCAUUUUCAAUGUGAUUGGCCAUUGCACACAACUUGUGCUCUGAUAAGUCAGUCUUUAGGCUUUCUCUGGAUGUUCUGAUUAGCCCUUUCCAUUGUUCAUAGAGACUUAUCAGUUUUUUUGUGCUUUUUAAUCAAUUCGUUUUCAAUUUUUUGUGAACUUUAAUCCAACCAGAUAUAUCACCAGUGUAAGAACUUUUGCCUCUUCUGAGGGGCUGCAAGUAUAUAUAAGAUAUUAACCAUAUUUGGAAUAUCAUGUUGUACUAUAUAAACUGCGCUAGCCAGAGUGCACGCGCGCCUCAUAAAACAAAAAAAAGGGGUGUAGCUUAAGACCGUAAGUCAACUAUGGCAAUACAAUGGUUUCAAAAUAAGAC
Molecule: RNA transcript, 3231 nt
Organism: Tachysurus vachellii
Lineage: Eukaryota; Metazoa; Chordata; Actinopteri; Siluriformes; Bagridae
Exons: 4
Source: RefSeq, a predicted model, not a curated record